This 72-nucleotide transfer RNA is filed under the name Camelus ferus (Wild Bactrian camel). It matches the Rfam family "tRNA". Rfam says of the family: Transfer RNA (tRNA) molecules are approximately 80 nucleotides in length. Their secondary structure includes four short double-helical elements and three loops (D, anti-codon, and T loops). Further hydrogen bonds mediate the characteristic L-shaped molecular structure. tRNAs have two regions of fundamental functional importance: the anti-codon, which is responsible for specific mRNA codon recognition, and the 3' end, to which the tRNAs corresponding amino acid is attached (by aminoacyl-tRNA synthetases). tRNAs cope with the degeneracy of the genetic code in two manners: having more than one tRNA (with a specific anti-codon) for a particular amino acid; and 'wobble' base-pairing, i.e. permitting non-standard base-pairing at the 3rd anti-codon position. Lineage: Eukaryota; Metazoa; Chordata; Mammalia; Artiodactyla; Camelidae. The record is from Rfam by way of RNAcentral.
GAGGGUAUAGCUCAGUGGUAGAGUGCAUGCUUGCCAUGCACGAGGUCCUGGGUUCAAUCUUGGAUACCUCCA